RNAcentral lists this ribosomal RNA (450 nucleotides) under Thermothielavioides maryleeae. RNAcentral's name for it is "partial large subunit ribosomal RNA". It matches the Rfam family "Eukaryotic large subunit ribosomal RNA", at positions 184 to 655 of the family's 3401-position model. Lineage: Eukaryota; Fungi; Ascomycota; Sordariomycetes; Sordariales; Chaetomiaceae. The record is from RNAcentral.
AGUCCCCUGGAACGGGGCGCCACAGAGGGUGAGAGCCCCGUAUAGUUGGACGCCUAGCCUGUGUAGAGCUCCUUCGACGAGUCGAGUAGUUUGGGAAUGCUGCUCAAAAUGGGAGGUAAAUUUCUUCUAAAGCUAAAUACCAGCCAGAAACCGAUAGCGCACAAGUAGAGUGAUCGAAAGAUGAAAAGCACUUUGGAAAGAGGGUUAAACAGCACGUGAAAUUGUUGAAAGGGAAGCGCUUGUGACCAGACUCGCGCCGGGCUGAUCAUCCGGUGUUCUCACCGGUGCACUCUGCCCGGCUCGGGCCAGCAUCGGUUCCUGCGGGGGGAUAAAGGCUCCGGGAACGUAGCUCCUCCGGGAGUGUUAUAGCCCGGGGCGCAAUGCCCCCGCGGGGACCGAGGACCGCGCUCUGCAAGGAUGCUGGCGUAAUGGUCACCAGCGACCCGUCUU